Molecule: long non-coding RNA, 922 nt
Organism: Suricata suricatta (meerkat)
Lineage: Eukaryota; Metazoa; Chordata; Mammalia; Carnivora; Herpestidae
Exons: 3
Source: RefSeq, a predicted model, not a curated record
CUCAAGCCACCCAAACACGGUGGCAAAGACCACAGAAAGGUUUACACACAGACCCAAAUGUUCUGGUCGGGUGGGAGGCGGUUUCUUUUCUAUAUACAGUAAACUGAAACCCCACAGGCGACCGGGUUUCUCGCCUCCUGACCGGCCCAGCUUUGUUCUAGUUCUUGCUCUGCACACGCCCAGGGAGAGAGGGCACCCGAAAGCGGCGAGGGACGCGGGUUCAGAACUGUUUCUCUGUCUCCCAUCUGCAGAGGAGAGCGAGCCAAGGGCGCGAGACUGAAGGCCUCGCUGUGGCCAGAAUGGGUUUCGAGAAGGAACAAAAAGGUCGGCCACGACGAAACGCGGCCAGCCGACGCCCGAGCCCUCGCCCGAAAAGCUUGUGCUCUCUGUCUCUAAAAAAGAAGAACGAGAAGAAGAAGAAAUAUGUGAAAUUAGGAUAUAAUCCUGAGGGGUGAGAAUGUGGAAUGGACUUAUACGUGUGAAGAGAAAAAUAAAUCAGGUUCAUCAGGAUGCAACACCAUCAUAAAUCCAGGGCGACCUGGACUCAGGUUAUGCAGAGAAGGAGUUCUGUCUCCCAGGAGGUGACACAUAAGUGGUGCCUCAGUUUCCAGCCUUUGGACUCAAGGUGCAACACCAACUCUUGCCUGAGUUUCCAGCCCUGCAGAUUUCAGACCUGGAGCCCCACAACCACACCAGCCAACUCCCUAAAAUAAAUGCACCUGCCCUCACUCUCUAUCCAACCCACCGGCCCCCUUCUCUAGAGAACCCUACUACAACCUUCCUUAAAGGAGUGCUGCCCUAGAGUUGGGAAUUCAUAUUUGCAUUUUUAAAACAUUUUGACCACCUGGGAAGAGAGGGUCCCAAAACAGCAGUAAGUGAAAUAAUGGUCAGCAACGAUUUUAUAAUAAAAUACAAGAACAUA